CCUUAACACUGAGAGAUGAUGACGAGGCUCUACGGAGCUGAAGUAACCGAUACCACACUUCCAGGAAAAGCCACUAAGCUUCAGGUUUAUCUAAACCGUACUGAAAACCGACACAGGUGGUCAGGUAGAGAAUACUCAGGCGCUUGAGAGAACUCGGGUGAAGGAACUAGGCAAAAUAGCACCGUAACUUCGGGAGAAGGUGCGCCGGCGUAGAUUGUAAGGGUUUACCCCUGAAGGUUGAACCGGUCGAAGAUACCAGCUGGCUGCAACUGUUUAUUAAAAACACAGCACUCUGCAAACACGAAAGUGGACGUAUAGGGUGUGAUGCCUGCCCGGUGCUGGAAGGUUAAUUGAUGGUGUAAUCGCAAGAGAAGCUCCUGAUCGAAGCCCCAGUAAACGGCGGCCGUAACUAUAACGGUCCUAAGGUAGCGAAAUUCCUUGUCGGGUAAGUUCCGACCUGCACGAAUGGCAUAAUGAUGGCCAGGCUGUCUCCACCCGAGACUCAGUGAAAUUGAAAUCGCCGUGAAGAUGCGGUGUACCCGCGGCUAGACGGAAAGACCCCGUGAACCUUUACUAUAGCUUGACACUGAACAUUGAAUUUUGAUGUGUAGGAUAGGUGGGAGACUUUGAAGAUGAUACGCCAGUAUUGUUGGAGUCGUCCUUGAAAUACCACCCUUUAACGUUUGAUGUUCUAACGAAGAUUACGAAACGUGGUCUCGGACAGUGUCUGGUGGGUAGUUUGACUGGGGCGGUCUCCUCCCAAAGAGUAACGGAGGAGCACGAAGGUUUGCUAAUCACGGUCGGACAUCGUGAGGUUAGUGCAAUGGUAUAAGCAAGCUUAACUGCGAGACGGACAAGUCGAGCAGGUACGAAAGUAGGUCAUAGUGAUCCGGUGGUUCUGCAUGGAAGGGCCAUCGCUCAACGGAUAAAAGGUACUCCGGGGAUAACAGGCUGAUACCGCCCAAGAGUUCAUAUCGACGGCGGUGUUUGGCACCUCGAUGUCGGCUCAUCACAUCCUGGGGCUGAAGUAGGUCCCAAGGGUAUGGCUGUUCGCCAUUUAAAGUGGUACGCGAGCUGGGUUUAGAACGUCGUGAGACAGUUCGGUCCCUAUCUGCCGUGGGCGUUGGAGAAUUGGUUGGGGCUGCUCCUAGUACGAGAGGACCGGAGUGGACGCACCGCUGGUGUUCCGGUUGUGUCGCCAGACGCAUUGCCGGGUAGCUAAGUGCGGAAGAGAUAAGUGCUGAAAGCAUCUAAGCACGAAACUUGCCAAGAGAUGAGUUCUCCCAGAUUAUAAAUC
Molecule: ribosomal RNA, 1297 nt
Filed under: Aggregatibacter aphrophilus
Lineage: Bacteria; Pseudomonadati; Pseudomonadota; Gammaproteobacteria; Pasteurellales; Pasteurellaceae
Description: bacterial LSU rRNA
Rfam family: Bacterial large subunit ribosomal RNA
Source: RNAcentral